RNAcentral lists this ribosomal RNA (413 nucleotides) under Candidatus Glassiibacteriota bacterium. RNAcentral describes it as "Candidatus Glassbacteria bacterium partial 23S ribosomal RNA". It matches the Rfam family "Bacterial large subunit ribosomal RNA", at positions 2524 to 2925 of the family's 2925-position model. Lineage: Bacteria; Candidatus Glassiibacteriota. The record is from RNAcentral.
CCUCGAUGUCGGCUCAUCGCAUCCUGGGGCUGGAGAAGGUCCCAAGGGUUAGGCUGUUCGCCUAUUAAAGCGGUACGCGAGCUGGGUUUAGAACGUCGUGAGACAGUUCGGUCUGUAUCCGCCGUGGGCGCAGGAGAUUUGAGAGGGUCUGUCCCUAGUACGAGAGGACCGGGAUGGACGAACCUCUAGUGUACCAGUUGUACCACCAGGUGCAUCGCUGGGUAGCUAUGUUCGGACGGGAUAACCGCUGAAAGCAUCUAAGUGGGAAGCCUUCCUCAAGAUAAGAUCUCCCCUUCGCUCGCUUCGGCGUGCGAUCUGAAGGCCCCUGGAAGACUACCAGGUUGAUAGGCUGGAGGUAUAAGCAUGGCGACAUGUUCAGCCGACCAGUACUAAUAGGCCGUGAGACUUGACCU